RNAcentral lists this ribosomal RNA (253 nucleotides) under uncultured bacterium. RNAcentral describes it as "partial 16S ribosomal RNA". It matches the Rfam family "Bacterial small subunit ribosomal RNA", at positions 524 to 776 of the family's 1533-position model. The record is from RNAcentral.
UACGAAGGGGGCUAGCGUUGCUCGGAAUGACUGGGCGUAAAGGGCGCGUAGGCGGAUGGCACAGUCAGAUGUGAAAUUCCCGGGCUUAACCUGGGGGCUGCAUUUGAUACGUGUUGUCUAGAGUGAGGAAGAGGGUUGUGGAAUUCCCAGUGUAGAGGUGAAAUUCGUAGAUAUUGGGAAGAACACCGGUGGCGAAGGCGGCAUCCUGGACCGGCAUUGACGCUGAGGCGCGAAAGCCAGGGGAGCAAACGGG